ACGGUACAACGAGUCGCAAGACCGCGAGGUUUAGCAAAUCUCUUAAAGCCGUUCUCAGUUCGGAUUGUAGGCUGCAACCCGCCUACAUGAAGUCGGAAUCGCUAGUAAUCGCGGAUCAGCAUGCCGCGGUGAAUACGUUCCCGGGCCUUGUACACACCGCCCGUCACACCAUGAGAGUUUGUAACACCCAAAGCCGGUGGGGUAACCUUUUGGAGCCAGCCGUCUAAGGUGGGACAGAUGAUUAGGGUGAAGUCGUAACAAGGUAAC
This 267-nucleotide ribosomal RNA is filed under the name uncultured bacterium. RNAcentral's name for it is "partial 16S ribosomal RNA". It matches the Rfam family "Bacterial small subunit ribosomal RNA", at positions 1234 to 1500 of the family's 1533-position model. The record is from RNAcentral.